CGGGGUGUGGCGCAGCUUGGUAGCGCGCGUCGUUCGGGACGACGAGGUCGCAGGUUCAAAUCCUGUUACCCCGA
This 74-nucleotide transfer RNA is filed under the name Microbacteriaceae bacterium MWH-Ta3. RNAcentral describes it as "actinobacterium MWH-Ta3 tRNA". It matches the Rfam family "tRNA". Rfam says of the family: Transfer RNA (tRNA) molecules are approximately 80 nucleotides in length. Their secondary structure includes four short double-helical elements and three loops (D, anti-codon, and T loops). Further hydrogen bonds mediate the characteristic L-shaped molecular structure. tRNAs have two regions of fundamental functional importance: the anti-codon, which is responsible for specific mRNA codon recognition, and the 3' end, to which the tRNAs corresponding amino acid is attached (by aminoacyl-tRNA synthetases). tRNAs cope with the degeneracy of the genetic code in two manners: having more than one tRNA (with a specific anti-codon) for a particular amino acid; and 'wobble' base-pairing, i.e. permitting non-standard base-pairing at the 3rd anti-codon position. The record is from Rfam by way of RNAcentral. RNAcentral also lists the same sequence under 2 other names. Lineage: Bacteria; Bacillati; Actinomycetota; Actinomycetes; Micrococcales; Microbacteriaceae.